Molecule: unclassified non-coding RNA, 346 nt
Filed under: soil metagenome
Description: partial contains 5.8S ribosomal RNA, internal transcribed spacer 2, and large subunit ribosomal RNA
Rfam family: 5.8S ribosomal RNA (bases 1-121)
Source: RNAcentral
GAUGAAGAACGCAGUGAACGUGCGAAACGUAAUGUGAAUUGCAGAAUUCAGUGAAUCAUCGAGUCUUUGAACGCACAUUGCGCCCCCUGGUAUUCCGGGGGGCAUGCCUGUCCGAGCGUCAUUGCUGCCCUCAAGCACGGCUUGUGUGUUGGGCCUCCGUCCUCCUCCCGGGGGACGGGCCCGAAAGGCAGCGGCGGCACCGCGUCCGGUCCUCGAGCGUAUGGGGCUUCGUCACCCGCUCUUGUAGGCCCGGCCGGCGCUUGCCGACACAUCAAUCUUUUUUCCAGGUUGACCUCGGAUCAGGUAGGGAUACCCGCUGAACUUAAGCAUAUCAAUAAGCGGAGGA